Molecule: long non-coding RNA, 990 nt
Organism: Columba livia (rock pigeon)
Lineage: Eukaryota; Metazoa; Chordata; Aves; Columbiformes; Columbidae
Exons: 4
Source: RefSeq, a predicted model, not a curated record
GCAGGACAAAGGGCUAUUCAUCACGCUCCAAAGUGCUGCAAAGGGCUCCCGUGUUCCACCGGAGAAGUGCCUGCAUUCGAAUCCAAGCAAGAAAGUUUUCUCCCUGUGCUUGAGGCCACUCCAGAGAGUAAAUGGAGCUUGGCGCCGCUUUAGGAUCCUUUUGGAGGAGAUAUAGGGGCAAGCAUCUUGUCAUGCGCUGCUCAGCCUCCAGCAAAUCUGGCCUUUCUCAGCCUUGGAAAUCUGUGGAAAGCUCAAGAAGGGAAAACCAACUUCUGCCUGCAGAUGAACAUCCACUUGAAGUAGAUGACAUGCUGGAAAACAUCCCAAAGUCAUGAGUCUGCAUCUGAGACACAAAGAAAGUCAUUCUAGAUACCUAUAGUUCACGUGAGGCAGCUCAAGUCAACGGGGAAGGCUUUUUCUCCAACCUGUGCCGAGGCCAGGGGCUGAGGCUGGGCCCAUCUGGAGCUGGCAGCCCUCAGAUCCGAGGAGGGAUCUGAUGAAAGCAUCUCCUUCGCAAUAAAUUCUUCUAUCAUGGUGUGGGAUGUGGCACCGCCAGCCUGCGCCAUGUGUUUGGGAAGGCCACACUUGCCAGAUGCGUGGGUCAGAGAAGAGAAUGAAGAGCAACGGCGCUGCGAGGAGACUUUGUGGCUGAGGCGAGAGGGAAAGAUCUCCCUGGGGACUCCAGCGGAAGGGCGACCCCACUGCCACCCGGGGAGCGGGGCUGAUGUGGGGACAGCGUGGGCAGUCAGAGCCGCAGAGGCAUGGAGGCACUGGGGGGCUGUGGGGAGAGAGGAAGGUUGGAUGUGGGGCCAUGGGAAGGCUGAGAGGCGCAGGGCUGAGGCGCAGGGCUGAGGGGCUCAGGGCUGAGGGCAGGCUGCUGCGGGCCGGGGCCUGAGCGGGGGCUGAGGCGACACGCAGCGCGGCGCACGGCAGCCGGCGAGGGGCCCCGCACGCCAGACCCCCGCGGGGCCGCCGCUCCGCGAAGGCCCA